This 433-nucleotide ribosomal RNA is filed under the name uncultured bacterium. RNAcentral describes it as "partial 16S ribosomal RNA". It matches the Rfam family "Bacterial small subunit ribosomal RNA", at positions 29 to 507 of the family's 1533-position model. The record is from RNAcentral.
AACGAACGCUGGCGGCAUGCCUAACACAUGCAAGUCGAACGAGACCUUCGGGACUAGUGGCGCACGGGUGCGUAACGCGUGGGAACCUGCCCUUAGGUUCGGAAUAACUCCCCGAAAGGGGUGCUAAUACCGGAUAAUGUCUUCGGACCAAAGAUUUAUCGCCUUUGGAUGGGCCCGCGUUGGAUUAGCUAGUUGGUAGGGUAAAAGCCUACCAAGGCGACGAUCCAUAGCUGGUCUGAGAGGAUGAUCAGCCACACUGGGACUGAGACACGGCCCAGACUCCUACGGGAGGCAGCAGUGGGGAAUAUGGGACGAUGGGCGAAAGCCUGAUCCAGCAAUGCCGCGUGAGUGAUGAAGGCCUUAGGGUUGUAAAGCUCUUUUACCCGGGAUGAUAAUGACAGUACCGGGAGAAUAAGCUCCGGCUAACUCCGUG